RNAcentral lists this ribosomal RNA (469 nucleotides) under uncultured bacterium. RNAcentral describes it as "partial 16S ribosomal RNA". It matches the Rfam family "Bacterial small subunit ribosomal RNA", at positions 28 to 507 of the family's 1533-position model. The record is from RNAcentral.
GACGAACGCUGGCGGCGUGCUUAACACAUGCAAGUCGAACGGAAAGGCCCUGCUUGCUGGCUGCUCGAUUGGCGAACGGGUGGGUAACACGUUGGUGAUCUGCCUCUUACUUCGGGAUAAGCCCUGGAAACUGGGUCUAAUACUGGACAGGACCAUGCUGGAGGUGGGGUGGUGGAGAGAUUAGUUUCGGUGAGGGGUGAGUGGGCGGCCUAUCAGCCUGUUGGUGGGGUCAUGGCCUACCAAGGCGUCGACGGGUAGCCGGCCUGAGAGGGUGGGAGGCCAAAUUGGGACUCUGAUACUGAGAAGACGCCUAGGGUAGGCAGCAAGGGAGAAGAGGGGAAAAUGGGAGAAAGCCUGAUGCAGCGACGCAGCGUGGGGGAGGAAGGGAUGAGGGUUGUAAGGUUCUUACGGCCAUGUACAAGGGCUGGUGAUGACGGUAGUGGUAGAAGAAGCACCGGCUAACUACGUG